CCUACGGGGGGCUGCAGUGAGGAAUAUUGGUCAAUGGGCGUAAGCCUGAACCAGCCAAGUAGCGUGAGGGAUGAAGGCUCUAUGGAUCGUAAACUUCUUUUAUAAGGGAAUAAAGUGCGGGACGUGUCCCGUUUUGUAUGUACCUUAUGAAUAAGGAUCGGCUAACUCCGUGCCAGCAGCCGCGGUAAUACGGAGGAUCCGAGCGUUAUCCGGAUUUAUUGGGUUUAAAGGGUGCGUAGGCGGCUUUUUAAGUCAGCGGUGAAAGUUUGUGGCUCAACCAUAGAAUUGCAGUUGAAACUGGGAGGCUUGAGUAUGUUUGAGGCAGGCGGAAUUCGUGGUGUAGCGGUGAAAUGCUUAGAUAUCACGCAGAACCCCGAUUGCGAAGGCAGCCUGC
RNAcentral lists this ribosomal RNA (394 nucleotides) under uncultured bacterium. RNAcentral's name for it is "partial 16S ribosomal RNA". It matches the Rfam family "Bacterial small subunit ribosomal RNA", at positions 338 to 729 of the family's 1533-position model. The record is from RNAcentral.